UACUAUGCUAUGUGAAAUAAGCCAGUCACAAAAGGACACAUGCUGUGUAAUUACACUGAUAUGAGCAAACCUUUGGGAAGGUUUCCCUUGGCCCCUACAGUGUUGGCGUCACAGACAGGAUCCUAAAGCUGCUCUACUUUUCUGGAAGCCACAGUCCAGGGAACCCAGGACCUGACAAAGCAUCAGAAGGAGUCAUUUAUCUCCGAGGAUGUCAGGAGGAACCCCAAAAUGUCAUCAAGACACUGGCUACAGGUCUAAACUCCAAUAAAAUCCAGCUGGGUUACAUCAAUUCAGACAUCUGGAUAAAAGGAUGAAUGAAACCAUGUACAUAAUACAGAAUUAUGCAUGCCAGGAAAAAAAAUUAUACUGCCUAAAAGCUGCAACCUUCAUGACAUCAAAUCUAUUUUAACACUGGCUGGUUAUGUGAGGAAAAGGCUAAUAAAAAAAAAUUCUGGCUGACCAAAGAAGUAUGUAUGUAUGUAUGUGUAUUUAUUUUUAAAUUAAUAUUGAGAUGGAUUAAUGUUCUAAAAUUUGGAAUUUCUAACAUUAU
Molecule: long non-coding RNA, 550 nt
Filed under: Homo sapiens (human)
Lineage: Eukaryota; Metazoa; Chordata; Mammalia; Primates; Hominidae
Description: HSALNT0357313
Source: RNAcentral